CCCUGCGGCCCGGGCUGCGCCGUGCGGGCGCGCGGGGCCGCGGCCUGCCGGGUUGCCAUGGAGACGGCCAUUUCUACCCAUCGCUUCUCACGUCGGCGGGCGAGGCCGCCUGCCGGGAGACAAAGGGAUGGAAGCGACACCGCGAGGGGAGAAUCCAUCCCGAUCCUGCGGAAGAACGCUUCCCCCGGCGCGCGGCCUGCCCUGGGUUCCCUGCGCGUGUCAUAAGCGUGUGUGGGGCUGCGCUCCGCGGGAACUAAACCGAACCAGACAGAAACAAAGCCCCUGGACCCCCAGCUCGCCCCACGUGCCCUCACUUGUGGAACCUGUGCGCGGGCACAUCCUGCGGCCUUAAGCCGAAAGUUUCCUGAUUCAGCGGUUGGCUUUGCUGCCCACGGCACUUGGGCUUGGAGCAAGAUGAUCUCUGAAGUCCCUUCCAACCUAAUCCGCUCUAUGAUUCUAUGAUUUCUUCUGGGGCUUCAGCUCCAAGCACAGAAAGCAAGUACGUGUCCCCAGUGUGCACGUGGCCACUAACGAAACACACAGCCCUGCAGGGCCCUCCCAGGGCUCCCCGCCGAUUUGCCUUGCCAAGGUGAUACUUGUGGUGCGACAGCUGCACUCUUUCACACGCCGGCUGUUUAGCAACUGACCUGAUUGAAAAUCUCAUCUAAUUUGACUCCUGUACUGUAGGGGGAAGAAGAGGAAGAACGCAAAAUGUAACGAUCUGGAUCUUUCCUUUCAGUGCUCUGGUUUCUAGUCAGAACAUUACGUGUAAGGUUGUGGAAGGGAAAGAAAAAGUACUACAUUGGCAAAAAUAGUUGCCUCUCAUAACAGGACCUUGUGUUACGCAUUCUUGACCCUGCAUGAACUCUUUUACUCAUUUCCUUUUUCUACUUUGUAUGAUAUUGUCUUAUUCCUCUACUUAACCUGUUAGUAUCAGCUUCAUAUCAGUAAUCUCUCAGUGCAAGAGUUCCUCAAUAAAGGUUCUCUUAAAACUCA
Long non-coding RNA from Numida meleagris (helmeted guineafowl), 996 nucleotides. RefSeq lists it as uncharacterized. The record is from RefSeq and is a predicted model, not a curated record. NCBI's taxonomy places the organism in Eukaryota, Metazoa, Chordata, Aves, Galliformes, Numididae. The transcript has 2 exons.